AAGAGAGAGGGUUCUAAUGGAGCAAAUUUGAAAGAGCUCAGUCUCAGUCUCUCUCAAUCGUCUCAUCGAAAAAGGGGUUUCGAAACCACCACAGUCAAGAGUUGUUGAUUGGACAAAGGCAGAUUAAGCUGCUUGUGAAACUCUGUCAAACCCUCACUGAGAUAAGUUUGUUUUCUUUUAGAAUUAAUUUCACCUUUUAUCACUUAAACUAUCACCAUUUGUUCUAUUUCAUCUCUAAACUAUCAAUUUCAUAUAUCUGUUUAGUUCUUACAUUUUCUUUUUCGUCACUAGGCUUUUGGAUUACUUGAAGAAUGAGAUUGAUGUCACUGAUUAUUAUAUUAUAAUCUCUUCGUUAGAAUUUGUUCUUUUUUACUUGAUCUCUUUGUUAGAAUUUAUUUGGUCUCUAAACAUCAUUUAUUCAUCUUUAUGUAUAUGUUUAAGGUUUUCCCUCAAAUCUCUCUCUUUCUCUCUCUCCCUCUCUGUUUAUUUACUUAUACAAGUUUGUGUUGAAAUGUUGAUUACUCUUAAUUAGCCUUUGUGAAGUGGGUUUUUGAUCAACAUUGUGCCUAAUUGCUGAAUUUGUGAGAAAUUUAUGUGUUUUUGUGUUGUUUUAUUGUAUAAAGUGUUCAUCAACUUAGUAGCCAAAGCAAUCUAGUUAUCUAUCCCAGCAAUCUUUUGGGUGUUGUGGAAAUUUAGAAAUGAAAUGGUUUUCAAUGGUGAGAUAAGCGAGUGGGAUCAGAUUUCACAAAAAAUAAAAAAAUAAAAAAUUAUGUGGCUUUUUGGGUGAAAGCAAAACCACUUUUCAAGGAAUUCUCAAUGAGCAACUUUAUUUUUAACUUCCAUAACAUUAGAGCUUGUAUUUGAGAUUAGGUGUUGGAAGUGGGUGGGUUGAUUGUGUUUUGGUUUUUAUUUAUUAUUAUCCUUUCCAUGCCUUAGUUUUAAUGAGUUCUUGAUGGACAUGAAGCAAUUCCGCCAACUUUGAGAUAUAUUUUGAUAGAUAAACAUGUCCUAUGUUCAAAAGAAAAUGAUUAUUUAUAAUGUGGUCUUAAUUCUAAUCUUUUAUCUCUUUAUAAUGUAGGCACAUUAUGUGCUAUUGCUCUAUUCUUUUAAAGAACAGCUGCAACAACAUGUUUGUGUACACGCAAUGGAAGUAGUAAUGGCUUGCUGGGAGAUUGAGCAGUCCCUACAAAGCUUAACAGGCAAUUACAUUUCAAAGGCAAUGAAAGAAGAAGUGUUAUAUGGUUUGAAAUUCAGCGAAGGAAGAUCGUAUCCCCCACUGAAUCAUCUCUUUCCUGCACCGGAUUUUUGAGGUAGUUGUUUUCAUGUUCUAUCUUAAUAUAUAUUUAACCCUAUUUUUAUUAGUGUUGUAAGAGAUGUUCUUUUUUGUAUUGUAUU
Molecule: non-coding RNA, 1395 nt
Organism: Camellia sinensis
Lineage: Eukaryota; Viridiplantae; Streptophyta; Magnoliopsida; Ericales; Theaceae
Source: RefSeq, a predicted model, not a curated record